CCUACGGGUGGCAGCAGUGGGGAAUAUUGCACAAUGGGGGAAACCCUGAUGCAGCGACGCCGCGUGGAGGAAGAAGGUCUUCGGAUUGUAAACUCCUGUUGUUGAGGAAGAUAAUGGCGGUACUCAACAAGGAAGUGACGGCUAACUACGUGCCAGCAGCCGCGGUAAAACGUAGGUCACAAGCGUUGUCCGGAAUUACUGGGUGUAAAGGGAGCGCAGGCGGGAAGACAAGUUGGAAGUGAAAUCCAUGGGCUCAACCCAUGAACUGCUUUCAAAACUGGUUUUCUUGAGUAGUGCAGAGGUAGGCGGAAGUCCCGGUGUAGCGGUGGAAUGCGUAGAUAUCUGGAGGAACACCAGUGGCGAAGGCGGCCUACUGGGCACCAACUGACGCUGAGGCUCGAAAGUGUGGGUAGCAAACAGGAUUAGAUACCCAGUAGUC
Molecule: ribosomal RNA, 439 nt
Filed under: Escherichia coli
Lineage: Bacteria; Pseudomonadati; Pseudomonadota; Gammaproteobacteria; Enterobacterales; Enterobacteriaceae
Description: bacterial SSU rRNA
Rfam family: Bacterial small subunit ribosomal RNA
Source: RNAcentral